UACGGGGGGGGCAAGCGUUGUUCGGAAUUACUGGGCGUAAAGGGUGCGUAGGCGGCGCGGUAAGUCGGGUGUGAAAUCUUGGAGCUUAACUCCGAAACUGCAUUCGAUACUGCCGUGCUUGAGGACUGGAGAGGAGACUGGAAUUUACGGUGUAGCGGUGAAAUGCGUAGAUAUCGUAAGGAAGACCAGUGGCGAAGGCGGGUCUCUGGACAGUUCCUGACGCUGAGGCACGAAGGUCAGGGGAGCAAACGGG
This 253-nucleotide ribosomal RNA is filed under the name uncultured bacterium. Its description in RNAcentral is "partial 16S ribosomal RNA". It matches the Rfam family "Bacterial small subunit ribosomal RNA", at positions 524 to 776 of the family's 1533-position model. The record is from RNAcentral.